AAUAUUAUAAUAUUUUUAAUGUAGAAAAAUAUUUUUUUUGCCACAUGGCACAAUUUUGGCAGCCACGUCAGCACUUAACGGACCAAUUGAUAGAAAAUGUAAUGGACGUAUUAUAUUGAAAUAAAAUAGUAUGUGAGGUAUGAAAGUGAAAUGUUUUAAAGAUGUUGUAAGGAAUUGAAAUCGAACCCAAACCUGAGAGGGUAAAAUGUUAUUUACCCUAACUUUUUUUCUGUUGAUUUGUGUCUGUAGGUACACAAACAUAUGUACAUUUUGCUUUGAAAUUUUGCUACAAAUUGAGCGGCUUAAGGACAAUCUCUGUUUAGAGAAAUAAGUUGGACAAAGAAAGGACAUGGAUAUGGGAACAUGAUUUGUCAUUAUAUUACUUGGGGACGAGUUUUGAUAUUUUAGAAGUUGGUUGAGUUUGUGGAGAUUUUGCUUUUCACAUCUUGCUUUGUAUUUGAACUUAAUCAUUAGAACUGAACUUUAACUUUUAGGGUGUGUUUGUUUACCUUUACUAGAUCUCACUGUACUUGACUGUACUAAGAAUUACCGUAGUCCCAUGUUUGUUAAAGGAAGGGACUAGCUUUAGUGGGAUUAAACUUCACUCGCAUGGACUAAGCUAGCUGGUCUUAGUGAAGGUCCCCAAAUACCAGCGGACUCCUAAGACUACCUCUUUCUCGCGUCGUCCUGCUCGACUCCUCGCCUUGCUCAAUCGACGGCAAAGACAAGAGUUCUCCAGUCUAGCCUAUCUUCGACUCAAGCUUCGUGAAGUUGUUGAUUUCGGCCCUUAAUCUCGACCGCUUAAGUGUAUCUGAAUGCUCUAAAAUGGAGAAAAUAAUUGAUUUGGAGGAAAAUAAUCACAGAUCUGUAUUUGCAAUCACUAUCGGUGUUGAAGAGUGUAUACGACAAUGCCCUGCCAUUUCCUUGUCUGAACAAAAUCUGGGUAACUGAUUGUCCUGCGCAGAAGAGAUGCCACUCAAGAUUGGCUAACCUUUGCUUCGUGGUUGGCUAAUCUCUCCAUCAAUUUGAAGAUUGAGGUUUCCAGCGAACGACAAUGAUAGAAAUGUUUGUCAAUGUUUUUGAUCCUUGCUUCAUGAUUAUCUUCUGCAAAAAUUUGUUCUUGUUUGAAUAUUGAAAUCUUCAAGAAAUUUGUGGAGAAUUUUGUGCAAA
Malus domestica (apple) is the source of this 1170-nucleotide non-coding RNA. Lineage: Eukaryota; Viridiplantae; Streptophyta; Magnoliopsida; Rosales; Rosaceae. The record is from RefSeq and is a predicted model, not a curated record.